GAAAUGCGAUAAGUAGUGUGAAUUGCAGAAUUCAGUGAAUCAUCGAAUCUUUGAACGCACAUUGCGCCCCUUGGUAUUCCAUGGGGCAUGCCUGUUCGAGCGUCAUUUGUACCCUCAAGCUCUGCUUGGUGUUGGGUGUUUGUCCCGUCUCCGCGCGUGGACUCGCCCCAAAGUGAUUGGCAGCCGGCGUACUGGUCCCGGAGCGUAGCACAUGUCGCGCAAACGAGUGCCUUGGUACGGCGGCGUCCAUAAGCCCCUCUCUCACGCUCUUGACCUCGGAUCAGGUAGGGAUACCCGCUGAACUUAAGC
This 309-nucleotide unclassified non-coding RNA is filed under the name plant metagenome. RNAcentral's name for it is "partial contains 5.8S ribosomal RNA, internal transcribed spacer 2, and large subunit ribosomal RNA". The stretch from base 1 to 105 matches the Rfam family "5.8S ribosomal RNA", at positions 50 to 154 of the family's 154-position model. The record is from RNAcentral.